GAGAGUUUGAUCCUGGCUCAGGAUGAACGCUAGCUACAGGCUUAACACAUGCAAGUCGAGGGGCAGCAUGGUCUUAGCUUGCUAAGGCCGAUGGCGACCGGCGCACGGGUGAGUAACGCGUAUCCAACCUGCCUUACACUCUUGGACAGCCUUCUGAAAGGGAGAUUAAUACAAGAUGUUAUCACGAGUAAGCAUUUUCGCAUGAUUAAAGGUUUACCGGUGUAAGAUGGGGAUGCGUUCCAUUAGAUAGUAGGCGGGGUAACGGCCCACCUAGUCUUCGAUGGAUAGGGGUUCUGAGAGGAAGGUCCCCCACAUUGGAACUGAGACACGGUCCAAACUCCUACGGGAGGCAGCAGUGAGGAAUAUUGGUCAAUGGACGAGAGUCUGAACCAGCCAAGUAGCGUGAAGGAUGAAGGUUCUAUGGAUUGUAAACUUCUUUUAUACGGGAAUAAACGAAUCCACGCGUGGAUUUUUGCAUGUACCGUAUGAAUAAGGAUCGGCUAACUCCGUGCCAGCAGCCGCGGUAAUACGGAGGAUCCGAGCGUUAUCCGGAUUUAUUGGGUUUAAAGGGAGCGUAGAUGGGUUGUUAAGUCAGUUGUGAAAGUUUGCGGCUCAACCGUAAAAUUGCAAUUGAUACUGGCAGUCUUGAGUACAGUUGAGGUAGGCGGAAUUCGUGGUGUAGCGGUGAAAUGCUUAGAUAUCACGAAGAACUCCGAUUGCGAAGGCAGCUUACUAACCUGUAACUGACAUUGAUGCUCGAAAGUGUGGGUAUCAAACAGGAUUAGAUACCCUGGUAGUCCACACGGUAAACGAUGAAUACUCGCUGUAGGCGAUAUACAGUCUGCGGCCAAGCGAAAGCAUUAAGUAUUCCACCUGGGGAGUACGCCGGCAACGGUGAAACUCAAAGGAAUUGACGGGGGCCCGCACAAGCGGAGGAACAUGUGGUUUAAUUCGAUGAUACGCGAGGAACCUUACCCGGGCUUAAAUUGCAACCGAAUAUGGCGGAAACGCUAUAGCUAGCAAUAGCGGUUGUGAAGGUGCUGCAUGGUUGUCGUCAGCUCGUGCCGCGAGGUGUCGGCUUAAGUGCCAUAACGAGCGCAACCCUUGCCGAUAGUUACUAACAGGUUAUGCUGAGGACUCUGUCGGGACUGCCAUCGUAAGAUGUGAGGAAGGUGGGGAUGACGUCAAAUCAGCACGGCCCUUACGUCCGGGGCUACACACGUGUUACAAUGGGGGGUACAGAGGGCUGCUACCACGCAAGUGGAUGCCAAUCCCAAAAACCUCUCUCAGUUCGGAUUGAAGUCUGCAACCCGACUUCAUGAAGCUGGAUUCGCUAGUAAUCGCGCAUCAGCCACGGCGCGGUGAAUACGUUCCCGGGCCUUGUACACACCGCCCGUCAAGCCAUGGGAGCCGGGGGUACCUGAAGUGCGUAACCGCAAGGAGCGCCCUAGGGUAAAACUGGUGACUGGGGCUAAGUCGUAACAAGGUAGCCG
Molecule: ribosomal RNA, 1493 nt
Filed under: uncultured bacterium
Lineage: Bacteria
Description: bacterial SSU rRNA
Rfam family: Bacterial small subunit ribosomal RNA
Source: RNAcentral